RNAcentral lists this ribosomal RNA (253 nucleotides) under uncultured bacterium. Its description in RNAcentral is "partial 16S ribosomal RNA". It matches the Rfam family "Bacterial small subunit ribosomal RNA", at positions 524 to 776 of the family's 1533-position model. The record is from RNAcentral.
UACAGAGGGUGCGAGCGUUAAUCGGAAUUACUGGGCGUAAAGCGUGCGUAGACGGUUAUUUAAGUCGGGUGUGAAAGCCCCGGGCUCAACCUGGGAACUGCAUUCGAGACUGAAUAGCUAGGGUACGGUAGAGGGAAGCGGAAUUUCCGGUGUAGCGGUGAAAUGCGUAGAUAUCAGGAGGAACACCUGCGGUGUAGACGGCUUACUGGACCAUAACUGACGCUGAGGCACGAAAGCGUGGGUAGCAAACAGG